Molecule: ribosomal RNA, 852 nt
Filed under: uncultured bacterium
Lineage: Bacteria
Description: bacterial SSU rRNA
Rfam family: Bacterial small subunit ribosomal RNA
Source: RNAcentral
AGGGUUUGAUCCUGGCUCAGGAUGAGCGCUGGCGGCGUGCCUAAUACAUGCAAGUCGAGCGGUAAGGCCCCUUCGGGGGUACACGAGCGGCGGACGGCUGAGUAACGCGUAGGAACGUACCCCAAAGUGAGGGAUAAGCACCAGAAAUGGUGUCUAAUACCGCAUGUGCUCCAAGGAGUAAAGCUUUAUGUGCUUUGGGAACGGCCUGCGUAUGAUUAGCUUGUUGGUGAGGUAAUGGCUCACCAAGGCGACGAUCAUUAGCUGGUCUGAGAGGAUGAUCAGCCAGACUGGGACUGAGAACGGCCCAGACUCCUACGGGAGGCAGCAGUAGGGAAUUUUCCACAAUGGGCGAAAGCCUGAUGGAGCAACGCCGCGUGCAGGAUGGAUGCCUUAGGGUUGUAAACUGCUUUUAUCUGUGACGAAUAUGACGGUAGCAGAUGAAUAAGGACCUGCUAACUACGUGCCAGCAGCCGCGGUCAUACGUAGGGUCCAAGCGUUAUCCGGAAUUACUGGGCGUAAAGAGUUGCGUAGGUGGUUUAGUAAGUAGAUAGUGAAAGCGUACGGCUCAACCGUAUAUCCAUUAUCUAAACUGCUAUGACUUGAGGACGAGAGAGGUAGAUGGAAUUCCUAAUGGAGGGGUAAUAUCCGUAGAUAUUAGGAGGAACACCGAUGGCGUAAGCAGUCUACUGGCUCGUUCCUGACACUAAGGCACGAAAGCGUGGGGAGCAAACAGGAUUAGAUACCCUGGUAGUCCACGCCGUAAACUAUGGAUGCUAGCUGUAAGGAGUAUCGACCCUUCUUGUAGCGAAGCUAACGCGUUAAGCAUCCCGCCUGUGGAGUACGAGCGCAAGC